RNAcentral lists this transfer RNA (74 nucleotides) under Oscillospiraceae bacterium. RNAcentral describes it as "tRNA-Gly". It matches the Rfam family "tRNA". From Rfam's summary of the family: Transfer RNA (tRNA) molecules are approximately 80 nucleotides in length. Their secondary structure includes four short double-helical elements and three loops (D, anti-codon, and T loops). The record is from RNAcentral. Lineage: Bacteria; Bacillati; Bacillota; Clostridia; Eubacteriales; Oscillospiraceae.
GCGGAUGUAGUUCAAUGGUAGAAUUCCAGCUUCCCAAGCUGGCUACGCGGGUUCGAUUCCCGUCAUCCGCUCCA